RNAcentral lists this long non-coding RNA (210 nucleotides) under Lathyrus oleraceus (garden pea). Its description in RNAcentral is "Pisum sativum (pea) long non-coding RNA (PSAT_LNC024749)". Lineage: Eukaryota; Viridiplantae; Streptophyta; Magnoliopsida; Fabales; Fabaceae. The record is from RNAcentral.
GUGAGUGCACUAUCAGAGUGCGGGCCGGUAAGCUGCUGGGGUUCAUUGUAAGAGAGGAAUCGAGGUUGACCCUGCUAAAAAAAAAAGAAAAAAAAGAAAAAAAAGAAUAAGAAAUGCCUGAACCGAGAAUGGAAAGAGAGGUUCGUGGUCUACUAGGUAGAUUGAACUACAUGUCAUGGUUCACAUCUCCUCUAACAGCCACGUGGGAAC